Molecule: ribosomal RNA, 176 nt
Filed under: Rhinogobio typus
Lineage: Eukaryota; Metazoa; Chordata; Actinopteri; Cypriniformes; Gobionidae
Description: partial 12S rRNA
Source: RNAcentral
CACCGCGGUUAAACGAGAGGCCCUAGUUAAUAGAAUUACGGCGUAAAGGGUGGUUAAGGAAAGCAGUUAAUAAAGCCAAAUGGCCCUUUGGCCGUCAUACGCUUCUAGGUGUCCGAAGUCCAACCACACGAAAGUAGCUUUAACAAAACCCACCUGACCCCACGAAAACUGAGAAA